GGGUUGUGAGGUUAAGCGACUAAGCGUACACGGUGGAUGCCUAGGCAGUCAGAGGCGAUGAAGGGCGUGCUAAUCUGCGAUAAGCGUCGGUAAGGUGAUAUGAACCGUUACAACCGACGAUACCCGAAUGGGGAAACCCAGUGCAAUUCGUUGCACUAUUGCAUGGUGAAUACAUAGCCAUGCAAGGCGAACCGGGGGAACUGAAACAUCUAAGUACCCCGAGGAAAAGAAAUCAACCGAGAUUCCCCCAGUAGCGGCGAGCGAACGGGGAAGAGCCCAGAGUCUGAAUCAGUUUGUGUGUUAGUGGAAGCGUCUGGAAAGUCGCACGGUACAGGGUGAUAGUCCCGUACACAAAAACACACUUGCUGUGAACUCGAUGAGUAGGGCGGGACACGUGACAUCCUGUCUGAAUAUGGGGGGACCAUCCUCCAAGGCUAAAUACUCCUGACUGACCGAUAGUGAACCAGUACCGUGAGGGAAAGGCGAAAAGAACCCCGGCGAGGGGAGUGAAAUAGAACCUGAAACCGUGUACGUACAAGCAGUGGGAGCACCUUCGUGGUGUGACUGCGUACCUUUUGUAUAAUGGGUCAGCGACUUAUAUUUUGUAGCAAGGUUAACCGAAUAGGGGAGCCGUAGGGAAACCGAGUCUUAACUGGGCGUCUAGUUGCAAGGUAUAGACCCGAAACCCGGUGAUCUAGCCAUGGGCAGGUUGAAGGUUGGGUAACACUAACUGGAGGACCGAACCGACUAAUGUUGAAAAAUUAGCGGAUGACUUGUGGCUGGGGGUGAAAGGCCAAUCAAACCGGGAGAUAGCUGGUUCUCCCCGAAAGCUAUUUAGGUAGCGCCUCGUGAACUCAUCUUCGGGGGUAGAGCACUGUUUCGGCUAGGGGGUCAUCCCGACUUACCAAACCGAUGCAAACUCCGAAUACCGAAGAAUGUUAUCACGGGAGACACACGGCGGGUGCUAACGUCCGUCGUGAAGAGGGAAACAACCCAGACCGCCAGCUAAGGUCCCAAAGUCAUGGUUAAGUGGGAAACGAUGUGGGAAGGCAUAGACAGCCAGGAUGUUGGCUUAGAAGCAGCCAUCAUUUAAAGAAAGCGUAAUAGCUCACUGGUCGAGUCGGCCUGCGCGGAAGAUGUAACGGGGCUAAACCAUGCACCGAAGCUGCGGCAGCGACACUUAGGUGUUGUUGGGUAGGGGAGCGUUCUGUAAGCCGUUGAAGGUGACCUGUGAGGGUUGCUGGAGGUAUCAGAAGUGCGAAUGCUGACAUAAGUAACGAUAAUGCGGGUGAAAAACCCGCACGCCGGAAGACCAAGGGUUCCUGUCCAACGUUAAUCGGGGCAGGGUGAGUCGACCCCUAAGGCGAGGCUGAAAAGCGUAGUCGAUGGGAAACAGGUUAAUAUUCCUGUACUUGGUGUUACUGCGAAGGGGGGACGGAGAAGGCUAGGCUAGCCGGGCGACGGUUGUCCCGGUUUAAGCAUGUAGGCGGAGCGACUUGGUAAAUCCGGUUGCUUAUCAACGCUGAGGUGUGAUGACGAUGCACUACGGUGCAGAAGUAGUUGAUGCCAUGCUUCCAGGAAAAGCCUCUAAGCAUCAGGUAACAUUAAAUCGUACCCCAAACCGACACAGGUGGUCAGGUAGAGAAUACUCAGGCGCUUGAGAGAACUCGGGUGAAGGAACUAGGCAAAAUGGUGCCGUAACUUCGGGAGAAGGCACGCUGGCAUUAGGUAAAGGGACUUGCUCCCGGCGCCGAAGCCAGUCGCAGAUACCAGCUGGCUGCAACUGUUUAAUAAAAACACAGCACUGUGCAAACACGAAAGUGGACGUAUACGGUGUGACGCCUGCCCGGUGCUGGAAGGUUAAUUGAUGGGGUCAGCCUUACGGCGAAGCUCUUGAUCGAAGCCCCAGUAAACGGCGGCCGUAACUAUAACGGUCCUAAGGUAGCGAAAUUCCUUGUCGGGUAAGUUCCGACCUGCACGAAUGGCGUAAUGAUGGCCAGGCUGUCUCCACCCGAGACUCAGUGAAAUUGAACUCGCUGUGAAGAUGCAGUGUACCCGCGGCAAGACGGAAAGACCCCGUGAACCUUUACUAUAGCUUGACACUGAACAUUGAGCCUUGAUGUGUAGGAUAGGUGGGAGGCAUCGAAGUGUGGACGCCAGUCUGCAUGGAGCCAACCUUGAAAUACCACCCUUUAAUGUUUGAUGUUCUAACUCGGCCCCGUGAUCCGGGGUGAGGACAGUGUCUGGUGGGUAGUUUGACUGGGGCGGUCUCCUCCCAAAGAGUAACGGAGGAGCACGAAGGUUAGCUAAUCACGGUCGGACAUCGUGAGGUUAGUGCAAAGGCAUAAGCUAGCUUGACUGCGAGAGUGACGGCUCGAGCAGGUACGAAAGUAGGUCUUAGUGAUCCGGUGGUUCUGAAUGGAAGGGCCAUCGCUCAACGGAUAAAAGGUACUCCGGGGAUAACAGGCUGAUACCGCCCAAGAGUUCAUAUCGACGGCGGUGUUUGGCACCUCGAUGUCGGCUCAUCACAUCCUGGGGCUGAAGUAGGUCCCAAGGGUAUGGCUGUUCGCCAUUUAAAGUGGUACGCGAGCUGGGUUUAGAACGUCGUGAGACAGUUCGGUCCCUAUCUGCCGUGGGCGUUGGAAGAUUGAGAGGGGCUGCUCCUAGUACGAGAGGACCGGAGUGGACGAAUCACUGGUGUUCGGGUUGUCAUGCCAAUGGCAUUGCCCGGUAGCUAAAUUCGGAAGAGAUAACCGCUGAAAGCAUCUAAGCGGGAAACUUGCCUCGAGAUGAGUCUUCCCUGGGGCUUUAAGCCCCCUGAAGGAACGUUAAAGACUAUGACGUUGAUAGGCUGGGUGUGUAAGUGCAGCGAUGCAUUGAGCUAACCAGUACUAAUGAUCCGUGAGGCUUAACCUUACAACACCAAAGGUGUUUUG
Molecule: ribosomal RNA, 2936 nt
Filed under: Yersinia mollaretii
Lineage: Bacteria; Pseudomonadati; Pseudomonadota; Gammaproteobacteria; Enterobacterales; Yersiniaceae
Description: 23S ribosomal RNA
Rfam family: Bacterial large subunit ribosomal RNA
Source: RNAcentral